Molecule: ribosomal RNA, 450 nt
Filed under: uncultured bacterium
Lineage: Bacteria
Description: bacterial SSU rRNA
Rfam family: Bacterial small subunit ribosomal RNA
Source: RNAcentral
GUGGGGAAUAUUGCGCAAUGGGCGAAAGCCUGACGCAGCGACGCCGCGUGAGGGAUGAAGGUCUUCGGAUCGUAAACCUCUGUCAGCAGGGAAGAACGGUCACUGUGCUAAUCAGCAGUGAAUUGACGGUACCUGCAAAGGAAGCACCGGCUAACUCCGUGCCAGCAGCCGCGGUAAUACGGAGGGUGCGAGCGUUAAUCGGAAUUACUGGGCGUAAAGCGCUCGUAGGCGGUAUGUCAAGUCAAGGGUGAAAUCCCCGCGCUCAACGUGGGAACUGCCUUUGAAACUGGCAAACUGGAGUGUGUGAGAGGAUAGUGGAAUUCCAGGUGUAGGAGUGAAAUCCGUAGAUAUCUGGAGGAACAUCAGUGGCGAAGGCGACUAUCUGGCACAUAACUGACGCUGAGGAGCGAAAGCGUGGGUAGCAAACAGGAUUAGAAACCCCAGUAGUCC